RNAcentral lists this ribosomal RNA (519 nucleotides) under Acidithiobacillus ferrooxidans. Its description in RNAcentral is "bacterial SSU rRNA". It matches the Rfam family "Bacterial small subunit ribosomal RNA", at positions 110 to 625 of the family's 1533-position model. The record is from RNAcentral. Lineage: Bacteria; Pseudomonadati; Pseudomonadota; Acidithiobacillia; Acidithiobacillales; Acidithiobacillaceae.
GUAAUGCGUAGGAAUCUGUCUUUUAGUGGGGGACAACCCAGGGAAACUUGGGCUAAUACCGCAUGAGCCCUGAGGGGGAAAGCGGGGGAUCUUCGGACCUCGCGCUAAGGGAAGAGCCUACGUCUGAUUAGCUAGUUGGUAGGGUAAAGGCCUACCAAGGCGACGAUCAGUAGCUGGUCUGAGAGGACGACCAGCCACACUGGGACUGAGACACGGCCCAGACUCCUACGGGAGGCAGCAGUGGGGAAUUUUUCGCAAUGGGGGCAACCCUGACGAAGCAAUGCCGCGUGGAUGAAGAAGGCCUUCGGGUUGUAAAGUCCUUUCGUGGGGGACGAAAAGGCGGGUCCUAAUACGAUCUGCUGUUGACGUGAACCCAAGAAGAAGCACCGGCUAACUCCGUGCCAGCAGCCGCGGUAAUACGGGGGGUGCAAGCGUUAAUCGGAAUCACUGGGCGUAAAGGGUGCGUAGGCGGUACGUUAGGUCUGUCGUGAAAUCCCCGGGCUCAACCUGGGAAUGGCG